This 1538-nucleotide unclassified non-coding RNA is filed under the name Haliotis rufescens (red abalone). RNAcentral's name for it is "uncharacterized LOC124115800, transcript variant X1". Lineage: Eukaryota; Metazoa; Mollusca; Gastropoda; Lepetellida; Haliotidae. The record is from RNAcentral.
GUUAACAUCGCAAUGUACAAAGUUGUCCUGUUCACGGAUGAUGAUGAACUAGCUGUUGUGCCAUCAAAUUGGCUGGAUGGCAAAGGUUGUUGUCUUUGGCCGCCCUUCAAGUCCAGCACAAAAUUGACAAAGGCAGUUAUUAAUCAGGAAAAGUCCUCUGAGACAUGGAGGUCUUAUCAAAUCUGGCUGCUUCCUGGUGGUGAAUCAGACAAUUACGAGCGCGCUCGUGAGAAGCUGCGUUUGGCGGAGGACACGUCAGACCUGCAAACUGCAGAAUCUGAGGAGGAAGAGGAAAGUCUCCGAUAUUCCAAAAGGAAGAAGAGUGUGUUCAUUAUGUGUGACCCUGACCUAAUGGAAGUCAAAAGAUUUUGUGAAGAAGGAGAGAUACACUUUAAUGAAGGCAAUAUAAAGAAAGCCAUAGAGUCUUUUCAAAAGGCUCUGGGAAAAGCGAAAUCGACGGAAGAUAGACACUUGGAAAACGUGUGCAGUUAUAACCUGGCGUCUGUGCACGCCGCGAACGGAGACAAACGAAAGUAUGAGCAGAACCUAAAAGACCUGUCAAACCAGUUUAUUAAAGACAACUUGCCAGAAGGGGAAAGAAGCAUGACUUACCUACAGGCAGUUGCAGACAGAUCGCCCUGGCAGUAUAAACAGGCUUUAGAGGUUACCAACGAUAGCAAAAAACAGAUUUAUCUUCUUAAACAGCUUGUAAAACAGUGCAAGGAUAAGCAAGACAAAGACAAGCAGAUCGAGUACCUGGAGCGACUUCAAACUGUAUAUGAAGUCCAACGGGAAGACAUCAGAUGGCUCGAGGUAGCAUGUCAACGGGCAAGACUUCUCUACCGGGAAAAAACCACGGAGGCUUUACUCGAGGUCCUGAAGAAAGUGGAAAAGAAACUUGGUGAGAUCUUACAAGUACCAUCACACCAUACCUCUGUUGCAGGUGAAUACGACACCGAGUCACUAAAAACAAAUUCGGUGCCAAUAUGGAAUGAGGUGGGAUUGAUGUACACGCUGUUGAAAAAAGAGGACAAGGCUUUGCAAUGCUUCGAGAACGGACUAAAACUGAUCCACGACAAGAACACAGCCUCCAUACUGAAAACUGCUGUUUUGAAACAAAACAUUGGUGCGGUACAAUACAUGAAACAUGAAUUUGCGCUUGCCAAGAAAUCCGACGAAGAAGCCAUUAAACAAUAUGAUGAAUACGUCGCGGAAAGAAGAAAAAGUACAUCGAACGGUAAAAGGACGCAGAAUAGGGGGACACAGGUUUAUCAUUACGAUGACGAGAGGAUGACGUACUGGCAGCUGAAAGAAGACAACGGAGAAGGACGGAUCUACGGUAGAUGAAGAAGCCGCGGCAUGCGCUGCCCGUAGCUACAUCAACCUGGGCGAGGUCCAGGCCAAGCUGGGAAGAACAAUGGGUGCCUCUGAAGCUUACUCACAGGCGAAAGACUUGGCACGCAAAGCAGGGGACAGGCAUACCGUGAUGCAGGCAUGUGAAGCACUUGCAAGUGUUGCCAUGAAAAACGCUGACAUAC